AUUGAACGCUGGCGGCAUGCCUAACACAUGCAAGUCGAACGGUUUAUGGAGCUUGCUUCAUAGAUAGUGGCGGACGGGUGAGUAAUAUGUAGGAAUCUGCCUUGAGGAGGGGGAUAACUUGGGGAAACUCAAGCUAAUACCGCGUAAGUCGGAGACGAGAAAGCAGGGGAACGAAAGGCCUUGUGCCUUAAGAUGAGCCUACAUCGGAUUAGCUAGUUGGUGGGGUAAAGGCCUACCAAGGCGAUGAUCCGUAGCUGGUCUGAGAGGAUGACCAGCCACACUGGGACUGAGACACGGCCCAGACUCCUACGGGAGGCAGCAGUGGGGAAUAUUGGACAAUGGGGGAAACCCUGAUCCAGCAAUGCCGCGUGUGUGAAGAAGGCCUUCGGGUUGUAAAGCACUUUCAGUGGGGAAGAAGGAUGUAUGGUUAAUACCCAUGCAUUUUGACGUUAACCACAGAAGAAGCACCGGCUAACUCUGUGCCAGCCGCCGCAGUAA
RNAcentral lists this ribosomal RNA (498 nucleotides) under uncultured bacterium. Its description in RNAcentral is "partial 16S ribosomal RNA". It matches the Rfam family "Bacterial small subunit ribosomal RNA", at positions 30 to 523 of the family's 1533-position model. The record is from RNAcentral.